Molecule: non-coding RNA, 26 nt
Filed under: Drosophila melanogaster (fruit fly)
Lineage: Eukaryota; Metazoa; Arthropoda; Insecta; Diptera; Drosophilidae
Source: RNAcentral
CCAAUGGAGAUGACGAGCAAGCGCUA